GAUGAACGCUGGCGGCGUGCCUAAUACAUGCAAGUCGAGCGCACGGACGAGAAGCUUUCUUCCUUGCUGUUAGCUGGGGAAGGGUGAAUAAAACGGGGAACAACCUCCUUUAAGACUGGGAUUACUUCGAGAAACCAGAUGUAAAUCCGGAAAAUAUCUUAAAGUGCAUUGUCACAAAGUUAAAAACGGUUUUGGCGUCACCUAUAGAUGGAUCCGCGCUGCAUUAGCUAGUUGGUAAGGUAACGGCCUACCAAGGCAAUGAUGCAUAGCCGACCUGAGAGGGUGAUCGGCCACACUGGAACUGAGACACGGUCCAGACUCCUACGGGAGGCAGCAGUAGGGAAUCUUCCGCAAAGGGCGAAAGCCUGACGGAGCAACGCCGCGUGAGUGAUGAAGGUUUUCGGAUCGUAAAACUCUGUUAUUAGGGAAGAACAUAUGUGUAAGUAACUGUGCACAUCUUGACGGUACCUAAUCAGAAAGCCACGGCUAACUACGUG
RNAcentral lists this ribosomal RNA (497 nucleotides) under uncultured bacterium. Its description in RNAcentral is "partial 16S ribosomal RNA". It matches the Rfam family "Bacterial small subunit ribosomal RNA", at positions 28 to 507 of the family's 1533-position model. The record is from RNAcentral.